UACGUAGGGCGCAAGCGUUAUCCGGAAUUAUUGGGCGUAAAGAGCUCGUAGGCGGUUUGUCGCGUCUGCCGUGAAAGUCCGGGGCUCAACUCCGGAUCUGCGGUGGGUACGGGCAGACUAGAGUGAUGUAGGGGAGACUGGAAUUCCUGGUGUAGCGGUGAAAUGCGCAGAUAUCAGGAGGAACACCGAUGGCGAAGGCAGGUCUCUGGGCAUUAACUGACGCUGACGAGCGAAAGCAUGGGGAGCGAACAGG
RNAcentral lists this ribosomal RNA (253 nucleotides) under uncultured bacterium. Its description in RNAcentral is "partial 16S ribosomal RNA". It matches the Rfam family "Bacterial small subunit ribosomal RNA", at positions 524 to 776 of the family's 1533-position model. The record is from RNAcentral.